CGUAGGGUGCGAGCGUUAAUCGGAAUUACUGGGCGUAAAGCGUGCGCAGGCGGUUUAGUAAGACAGGCGUGAAAUCCCCGGGCUCAACCUGGGAACUGCGCUUGUGACUGCUAAGCUAGAGUACGGCAGAGGGGGGUGGAAUUCCACGUGUAGCAGUGAAAUGCGUAGAGAUGUGGAGGAACACCAAUGGCGAAGGCAGCCCCCUGGGUCGAUACUGACGCUCAUGCACGAAAGCGUGGGUAGCAAACAGGAUUAGAUACCCUGGUAGUCCACGCCCUAAACGAUGUCAACUAGGUGUUGGGAGGGUAAAACCUUUUAGUACCGGAGCUAACGCGUGAAGUUGACCGCCUGGGGAAUACGGCCGCAAGGUU
Molecule: ribosomal RNA, 371 nt
Filed under: uncultured organism
Description: bacterial SSU rRNA
Rfam family: Bacterial small subunit ribosomal RNA
Source: RNAcentral